Molecule: unclassified non-coding RNA, 227 nt
Filed under: uncultured fungus
Lineage: Eukaryota; Fungi
Description: sequence contains ITS1, 5.8S rRNA gene
Rfam family: 5.8S ribosomal RNA (bases 179-227)
Source: RNAcentral
UCUCCGUAGGUGAACCUGCGGAGGGAUCAUUACUGAGUGAGGGCUCACGCCCGACCUCCAACCCUUUGUGAACACAUCUUGUUGCUUCGGGGGCGACCCUGCCGUUUCGACGGCGAGCGCCCCCGGAGGAUAUCAAAACGCUGCAUCUUUGCGUCGGAGUAUCAAUCAAAUUGAACAAAACUUUCAACAACGGAUCUCUUGGUUCUGGCAUCGAUGAAGAACGCAGC